ACUGCUCAGUAACACGUGGACAACCUGCCCUUAGGUUGGGUAUAAACCCGGGAAACUGGGUAUAAUACCCGAUAGGUCUCGAUUGCUGGAAUGCAUCGAGAUUUAAAGCUCCGGCGCCUAAGGAUGGGUCUGCGGCCUAUCAGGUAGUAGUGGGUGUAGCGUACCUACUAGCCUACGACGGGUACGGGUUGUGAGAGCAAGAGCCCGGAGAUGGAUUCUGAGACACGAAUCCAGGCCCUACGGGGUGCAGCAGGCGCGAAAACUUUACAAUGCUGGCAACAGCGAUAAGGGAACCUCGAGUGCCAGGUUACAAAUCUGGCUGUCGAGAUGCCUAAAAAGCAUUUCAUAGCAAGGGCCGGGCAAGACCGGUGCCAGCCGCCGCGGUAACACCGGCGGCUCGAGUGGUAACCGUUAUUAUUGGGUCUAAAGGGUCUGUAGCCGGCCGGAUAAGUCUCUUGAGAAAUCUGGCAGCUUAACUGUCAGGCUUUCAGGAGAUACUGUCUGGCUCGAGGCCGGGAGAGGUGAGAGGUACUUCAGGGGUAGGGGUGAAAUCUUGUAAUCCUUGAAGGACCACCAGUGGCGAAGGCGUCUCACCAGAACGGACCUGACGGCAAGGGGCGAAAGCUAGGGGCACGAACCGGAUUAGAUACCCGGGUAGUCCUAGCCGUAAACGAUACUCGCUAGGUGUCGGCCACGGUGCGACCGUUGUCGGUGCCGUAGGGAAGCCGUGAAGCGAGCCACCUGGGAAGUACGGCCGCAAGGCUGAAACUUAAAGGAAUUGGCGGGGGAGCAC
Molecule: ribosomal RNA, 793 nt
Filed under: uncultured archaeon
Lineage: Archaea
Description: bacterial SSU rRNA
Rfam family: Archaeal small subunit ribosomal RNA
Source: RNAcentral